UGGCAUGAAAAGAAGUUGCCUCAAAUCUAGUGUUGUUCUUCUCCCUGCUCAAAAUAAGGUUUCUUAACUGUACCUCUCUGCUUUCCCUUGUAAUGGCCAGGGACACUUGGUCCCAUAUAU
RNAcentral lists this small nucleolar RNA (120 nucleotides) under Castor canadensis (American beaver). Its description in RNAcentral is "Small nucleolar RNA SNORA63 (ENSCCNG00000026910.1)". Lineage: Eukaryota; Metazoa; Chordata; Mammalia; Rodentia; Castoridae. The record is from RNAcentral.